GACGAACGCUGGCGGCGUGCUUAACACAUGCAAGUCGAACGGAAAGGCCCUGCUUGCAGGGUACUCGAGUGGCGAACGGGUGAGUAACACGUGGGUGAUCUGCCCUGCACUUCGGGAUAAGCCUGGGAAACUGGGUCUAAUACCGGAUAGGAGCCAUUUUUAGUGUGAUGGUUGGAAAGUUUUUUUCGGUGUAGGAUGAGCUCGCGGCCUAUCAGCUUGUUGGUGGGGUAAUGGCCUACCAAGGCGGCGACGGGUAGCCGGCCUGAGAGGGUGGACGGCCACAUUGGGACUGAGAUACGGCCCAGACUCCUACGGGAGGCAGCAGUGGGGAAUAUUGCACAAUGGGCGCAAGCCUGAUGCGGCGACGCCGCGUGGGGGAUGACGGCCUUCGGGUUGUAAACUCCUUUCGCUAGGGACGAAGCUUUUUGUGACGGUACCUAGAUAAGAAGCACCGGCUAACUACGUG
This 466-nucleotide ribosomal RNA is filed under the name uncultured bacterium. Its description in RNAcentral is "partial 16S ribosomal RNA". It matches the Rfam family "Bacterial small subunit ribosomal RNA", at positions 28 to 507 of the family's 1533-position model. The record is from RNAcentral.